Molecule: long non-coding RNA, 541 nt
Organism: Daphnia pulicaria
Lineage: Eukaryota; Metazoa; Arthropoda; Branchiopoda; Diplostraca; Daphniidae
Exons: 4
Source: RefSeq, a predicted model, not a curated record
UGGUGGUUUCAUGUGUAAGUUCACUUGUUUCUAAAUUGGCAUGACUGACUUUAUGAGAAGUUAUUUCCUUUUAAGAAAAAGGACUUACAGUCAACAAGAUUCCUUGUUUGCUAACCCGUUAUUGGCUGCUACCCUUAAUCUCCGUUUGUCAACAAGAAAAAAGAGGUUAAAUAUUGUGAUCAUGCUAUCAUCAUUAUGUUGCUUAUAAGACCAAAUGUGGGGCAUCUGGUUAUCCCUCCAAAAUAAGGCAAUGACCACACGUUGAACGCGGAUCAUUCGUUCUGUCAUCGAACUUGACUCAUUCCAUCUUCUGGAUUGCUUAGGAAAGCUGAUUGGUGUUACCUGUCAUUUAGGUAAUGACCGAGAAAAGGCGGCCUACAUGAACAUAAUUUAAGCGGCCAGCAUCAUUCGACUACCCAAUCGGCUUCUACUACCCUGCCCUCAACAUAGCACGGAGUUUUACCCUUUAGAUUUUUGGCUGUUCGCGAUGUGUAAUGGCGUUUCCUUGGACGAGAUGAUGAUUUUGGCGAGAAAAAUAUUG